AUGGUGGUCGGCCGCCGCCGGCUCAACCGGCGCGAGCUCGACGAGUUCGAGCUCGAGCGCGCCCGUCGCCGCCGCGCCUCCUCCGGCAACUGGUCUGCAGGGAGUUCAUCCGUCCACGGGUCCGCGGGGUGCUCAUCCGCGGGCGCAUCGAGCUCGCGGCUCGUUCCGGUGAAGAGGGAGUCGGAGGAGGCCGUGCCCGAUGCGCCGCCGCGCCGAGGCGUCAUCGGACCCGAGGACUACCUCCCACCGGGGCAGGAGGAGCUCCUCGAGCGCGUCGUCCUUGAGCGGUCGACGAGGGAUCAGGAGGAGAUGGAAGAGCGCAUCCGGCGCGAGCUCGAGUACGAGCGGCUCUUCCUCGAGACGGGCCUCACGGCAUCGCAGGCGCACGCAUCGAAGGAGGCCGACCUGCACGUGAUGAAGACAGAGCAGGCGAAGCUCUACAUCGAGGUCGACUCCGACUCCGACUGA
This 468-nucleotide ribosomal RNA is filed under the name Triticum aestivum (bread wheat). Its description in RNAcentral is "partial small subunit ribosomal RNA". The record is from RNAcentral. Lineage: Eukaryota; Viridiplantae; Streptophyta; Magnoliopsida; Poales; Poaceae.